Cercocebus atys (sooty mangabey) is the source of this 4406-nucleotide long non-coding RNA. RefSeq lists it as uncharacterized. Lineage: Eukaryota; Metazoa; Chordata; Mammalia; Primates; Cercopithecidae. The record is from RefSeq and is a predicted model, not a curated record. The transcript is spliced from 4 exons.
ACUACGGGGCUCAAGUGAUCCUCCUGCCUCAGCCUGCCAAGUAGCUGGGACUACAGGUGUGCACCACCACGGCCAGCUUCAUGUUUCCUUUUAAAGACCCUUUAUGCAAAUAUAGGCAGUCACAUUAUCAGGUACUGGGGGUUAGGACUUAAACAUAUGAAGUUUUGGAGAACAUAUUUCAGCCAAUAACACUGUGCCUCAGGGCCCUAAUCUUUAACCUAGGGAAUAUAAUGAUAUUCUUAGAGAAAAUCAUAUCAAAGUGCUUUGUAGACUGCAAAAGUGCUGCACAAAUAUUGUGGUUACUUCCUGUGUCCUGACAACUUGUGCCUGGAUCCCUGAUGUGAUCAUUUAGAUCUCGUAAAAAUACCAGGUAGAGUCAGCCUCCUGAAGGUGGGAACAGUGGGUAACAGGUGUAGAAGCUGGGGCAUGAGGUUGUGUAGAGGUUGUGGCAUGCUCUCCUUGCAUGAAGGCCCUCUCUCCCCUGCUGCCCCCGCUGUUGGUGCUGUGUUCAGACUCAUGGACAGUGAGCCCUACAAUGUAUCACACCCCUGGGGCUGAGGGCAAGAGGGAAAGGGAACAAUGGCUCACACCAAAAUGUAAAAGGCCAUCCAGGAGUUCUGGUGUAUAGGCCCUCCACGUAGCUGGAAAUGAUGGCCACGAUUCCUCAGAUGCCUGCCGACUCUUUCUUCCACGUCUUUAGUGGGGGAUCGACAAGGUCACUUACCGUAGGGAGUGAUUUACUCCGCCUUCCCUGGAUCACAUCAGGUGAUUCUGAUCAGGUAUCUAUGUACUGUUACUCCCUGAGCAAGCAUUUGGCAGUACUGGUAGUGGUGGCGACCCAAGAUGGAUUUGAUGUCCUUUGGCACAUAUGCUCCAUUUUCAAGACAACAUUUCACAAAACUUAAUGGAGAGGCUUUUGCUUUCUGAAUCUGCCCUUUUUUCUAGAAGGGUGAGAAAGGAAGGUCAGAUCUCAUUUUCAGACGAUUAGUGACCAGCGCCCUCCUGCAGUGUCCAUGCUCCCACCCUGGGGCUUUCCUUUGAAAUCAGCAAGAGUCUGUGUAGAUUAAGAGAUACGACUCAGGAGCAGGUCCAAAUAGAAGCGGCUUUCCCAUAUUAAUAAUAAUGUUUUACAAUAAUGUCACUCUGGGUGCUUCCUCUAUUCCUUGGAGCCACAGAUAGUGGAUUUAUUGACUUGUUUUCCUUUGACUUAUGGCUCUUUCUCGUUAUUUUCUGAGUGCGGUUUUGCUUUGCUUCCUGGAAAAGGAAAUAGAAGUGGUUCUGGUCAAUCCUGGGAGAGUAGAGCCUCGUUUUGAAAUUUUACUCUGUUGAUGACAGGCCCGCUCAGAGCGAAGCAUGGCCAGAAGAGCAUGUUGGAGUUCCUUGCUCAUAUCCCUGUGAAUGUGGUCACAUGUGGCUGUAGGCAUUCAGUGGGUUCACGCAGUCUUUGGAACAGAACCCCACAAGGGGCAGAAAAUCAACCUUCUAAGGCUUGGGGAGUACUGAACUGGACAAACCAGAUUUUAGAGCUUCCUCAGUGACAUGCGCCGAGCGGAUCCAGUGGCCCCUCUUAGAGUCUCUCCAGGAGAGGGGGACCCUUCUUUCCUUUCUUCCAUCUCCACUUCCCUCUCCCUAGGGCCCAGUGCUUUCACUGACCUCCUCUCCCGUUGGAAAUUUAGAGGUUACGUGCAUUUCAUCUAUCAGUGAAUACAAAGAAGAUGAUUCUGAAUCUCAGAGAACAGCUAAAGUGGAAUUUCAGGCAUUUCCAGGGAGAGUUUAAAUGGUAGGAAGGGCUGGGUUUGCCAUUGGUGGCCAUUAGUUUGCCUAUACUAAGACAGCUUUCUUUUUUGCUGUUGGGUCUGUGACAAACGUCAUUCAUUUGACAUGAAAAGAGUUGGGACCAUUUUGGUCUUAGCUGGCUCAGUUAAGUGCAUGUGAGGGAGCCCGUUUUUCACGCCUGGCCAGCUCUGUGCUUAAGCGGCCCUGUCGUAGCCAGAGUAGCCUCAUUACAGGUGAAGUCCCCCGUAGACCUCCUCCUUCCUCUGAGCCCAGGGCAGUGCCAAGGCCGGGGACUCUGUCUGGCACUGGUGACAGGCUGUCUUGUCCUGAAGACACGAGGUUAGGUUUGGCAGCUGGCUCCUGCACUGAACGUAGCUGAGCCGUUCCCCUCACACCCCAAGUGUGGCACCAGGCUGGUCACUCAGAAGCAGCGAGUGGGGUGUCCUGGUGGGAAAAGCCUGGCUCUGUGCAGCCUCGGGGAAGGUUUUCAGCGCCUUCUGAACCUGUUUCCUCAUCUCUAAGGCGGGGACCAGGAAGCCCGCCCCGCAGAGUAGUUGCAGGAAGGAGACAUGUAUCUGGGAGCAGCUGGCGCGUUCCUGGCAUGCGCUGCUCCCAUCCGAUUUCCCCAGACUUCCUGCUGGAACGUUUUCUCGGGCCUUAAGUUUUCCUGAGAGGACGACGUGGAGAGUGGAGACAAAGAUGCUCAAAAGCCGGGAAAUCGCAGGCUCGGAAGCCCCCACGCACGCCUCUGAACGCAGCCGCCUCUCGGGGCCGCGACGGGACUAAGCCUGCCGCUUGCAGGCUGCCAGCGGCAGGGGCCGCGAGCAGCCGGCUUAGGCCGCUCCCGCAAAAAGACCCAGCCGCUAGGGUUCCAGGGGUCCGCAGACGCUUCCGAAGGGCCCAAGGCGAGAGAGCCCGGCUGGCUCGACGGCCACGUGACCGUCCGCGUCCUCAGCGCCCACGUGACCGUGCGUCCGCGGCGUCGAUUGACUGGGAGCUCCCUGGCCACGCCCCAGGCGCCGGGCCCCGGGCUCCGGGGGGCGGUGCUGCUGCGGUUGCCAUGGCGUCCUCCUAGCGCGCAGGCGUGGGCCCAGGGUCGCUUUUCCGGUAUUUGCUACAGUCUCUCGGGAUAGCUGGUCACCUUUGCUUGCUGAGUUUCGCGCCCUGCGUCCUCUGGUUUUCAGCAACUUGCAGUGCAGCCGUCCUGCAUGAGGCCCUCCAGCGAAUGCCCUAAAGCUCCGGAGUUGCUCCGGAGGAAAGCAGGCUUGCCCCGAGAGACCACGUCCUUACUGCCCGUGCCGUUGUGGUACCUUGAGGGCACCCUUCUGGGAAGAUCCUUGCAGAGGCCAUGUCCCCUCUCCACGACAUCUAAGCCCAGUCCCAACUUGCUUUUCACGCCUGUCCCCCCGGGAAACAUCUACUGGACCUCAGGACAGCCCCUCACCCCCGUGCAUUCCCGAGGUGAAUCUGCAGCGAAGCCUCUGUGGUGACUCACAGUUGCUAGCAUUGGUUAUCUUCUUCCUGGCAGAAGGUGGCAGGCUGAUGCUGGCCUCGUUCCUGUGUGUCUGACAGAUCACAAAUGUGAAUUCAGAUCGUCACAGCUGAGUCAUGCUCAGGAUUUCCAUGAGCCCUGCUGGGGUGGCCAGCUGAGCUUCCUUCCCCACGGCCCCCUCCAGCUCUGCAGCACCAGGCACCAGUGUGACUCAUGGGGGCCUGUGGAAGCCGGGGCUGCUCAGUGGGGCUGAGUCUAGGAGGGGGAGAGAGAAAGGGAGCCCAGCAACAAUUACAGCGCAAACGCCGCAGCUGCCACCACCGAGUGCUUCCAGUUGGGAACUGGUUUGUGAAAUUCAUUACCCUAUGAGAUGAGUUUUAUCUCUGUUUCACUCCAGAGGAUUCUGAAGCUCAGGAGGUUGUGAAUGACUCCGGGAAGCACAGCUGAUAGCUGUACUCUUCACAUGUCCUUGCUUCAAGAAACUGGUUGAAGACCACCCUUCCUCCAGCCUUGCAGUUGCAAACACACUGACAGCUCCCGAAUGAUCUGAUACAGGAUCCUUAAUAGGCACGGAAGUGUUCACCAGACAGAGAGGUCCUGCCCUUGCCGAUCUGAGCUGGUUCUGUGUUAGAGACUCCGUGGGCGUCUGUUUGACAGGAUCUGCCAGGAGCAGCAGAAUAACGUUCCUGAUCUGGAAGAGCAAAUCUCAAAUAUUUUGCACAUUUGCAGAACCUACCCCUAGGAGUGGGAGGAGACCACAACCAAAGAAGCAAAUGGAGACACAGAAUAUCAGAUGAACAGCAGCUACACAGGCAAACAGAGCAGUGCAGCAGGAUUGGAGGUGCUUGUGGUGAGAGGAGGCAGGGAGUUGCUUUUUACAUGGGGAGAUCAGGGAAGGCCUCAGUGGGUAGGUGAUAUUUGAAGAGAGAGAGAGACCUGGGAGAGGAAAGAGAGUGAGCCCUGUUGAUAUAUAAGGGUAGAAUGACUCUGGCAGACGGUUGGUGCAAAGGUCUUGUAGCAGAAAACACCUUUUUGGACUUCCAUUGUGAAUAUCUUGGGACACUCAAUGGUGUCCCACAGAUCUCUGAAACUUUGUUUGUUUAUUUAUUUAUUUAGAGACAGGGUCUUGCUCUGUUGC